Long non-coding RNA from Ipomoea nil (Japanese morning glory), 216 nucleotides. RefSeq lists it as uncharacterized. The transcript has 2 exons. Lineage: Eukaryota; Viridiplantae; Streptophyta; Magnoliopsida; Solanales; Convolvulaceae. The record is from RefSeq and is a predicted model, not a curated record.
GUUGAUAAUAUUUACUCGUCAGAUGGAGUAAAUCUUGGAAACACGGAUAAAUCGUUCCAGUUUCGAAAGAUGAUAACUUUAGAAGUAACUGGCGAGGAAUUCUCCAUUGCACACGCUGGUGAAAGUAUUUUAACGGUAAGUCACAGUCGACAUUUUUAUCUUCGGAUCUGGUUUCUCAGUCGUUACCUCGGCUGUACACAACGAAAGUACAACACU